CUUUUACUUUUAUACUCGUUUUUUUUUAGUUUUCCCAUUAUACCCUUGACUGAUAUCAAGCACACUCAUGGCUCCUUGUCUCCUCAAACACACCCACGAUGAGGUUUGAGUUCUAAACUCACAAUUUAUUGUUUACCACCCUAGCUAGCUACGCGAUCGUCUUUGGCUGUAUGACGCACCCGAACACAUGUACGACGCAGCCAGGCACAGGCAGAACACAACUGUAACUCGUCAUCUUCUUCACCAUGAGUUAACCGAUCACACGACAUUACUUCACCCUCCGACGUCCCGAGCCACCACCGGUGCUGCUGCUGCUAACGUUGAGCCACUUCCAGAUCCAUUAUAUUUUGAACAAUAUAAAGCUUUGGUUGUAGUUAGGAAUUUAUGGUUUUAGGCAAUAGCUGCUUUCAGGUCUUUUGUUCAAUCAGAAAUGACUCAUGAGAGAUGAGGAGCACGAGUAACGAACAAGAAGAAGAGUUUGAAUCGUGGAUCUCAGUGAGUAUGGAGAAGAAGCAAUAUUUGCAUUUUUGUAAUUACAUCACGAUAAUAUAUGCAUAUGAUUAAGAAUGAUGUGCCUCUUUCUUUUUUCUUCUUCCUCAUUUUGGUUUAUUUAGAACAUUAGGAACUUGCUGUGUAACUUAUAUUUAUUAGCUUAGGCUAAUCUUUAGACUUUGUCCGAUCAUUCUUUUUUCUUCA
Molecule: long non-coding RNA, 696 nt
Organism: Humulus lupulus (European hop)
Lineage: Eukaryota; Viridiplantae; Streptophyta; Magnoliopsida; Rosales; Cannabaceae
Exons: 2
Source: RefSeq, a predicted model, not a curated record